RNAcentral lists this long non-coding RNA (3956 nucleotides) under Jatropha curcas. RNAcentral describes it as "long non-coding RNA (JCUR_LNC000726)". Lineage: Eukaryota; Viridiplantae; Streptophyta; Magnoliopsida; Malpighiales; Euphorbiaceae. The record is from RNAcentral.
AAAACCUCUUUCUUCUUUCUCACCAACCCUGAUAGCUCUCUUCCUCUUUCUUUUGUUCGUUCUCCAACCACCGACCAUUGAAUCUGGUGAUUAAGGGCUCUAAACUUAAAAGCUUGAUGAGAGGAACAAUUUGGUGACUUUGGGUUGCGAAAUAAGGGUCUGGAUCGAGAAAAAACUCGGUCGGUGUGAAGCGUCACCGCUGUGAUUCCGUCUUCUGGCGAUCCAUGCUGUUUUCGACGAGACUAGGCCUAGAGGUGGGUCUCGAUCGACUCCUCUCCUCUAGGCGAACCUUUCCCCCUCCACCAAUUCCAGUGCUGAAGCUUUAAUGACAAGACCGCCAUGGAUGGCAGUGGCAAGGCUACUGUCGAGGCCAUUUCCUGCCAAAUGAGACACACCCAGUCCAAAUUCAUCACAGAUUCUGAGUCCCCAUGAAAUUUCUAGCAUUUUGGUGUAUAUGUUGCUCAGUUCCGGCAAUAGUCGAUUUUUCAGCCAUCGUGUACAGUGGCCGACGUCGACAUUCUGGUGACCAGUCUGCAAGACUCCGGCGGGGCCAUAGGAGCCAGAAUUCUUAUCUCGAUUCGGGCAGUGGGAUGGAGUUAACGAAAUUUCUAUUGGUGAGCCCUAAGACUUUGAUACUAAAUUUUUCGAUAAUAAUAAGAGUUUGUUGAUCAAAUUUUAUUGUUUCAAUUUAGUUGAGCUAAAUGUAUAACUAAAACAGAAAUUUAUUAAAAUGUUAACUUAACUAAGUCAGUUGAUAGAUUAACCUAAAUCGAAGGGAAGUUAGAUUAAAAUCCGAUAUCUGGUUAUCGUUUUGGUGGAUAUCCACUUAUUAUUUAUAUAGUUCAAAUGGUAUGUAAAUAAUGGAGAAUGAGUUUUGAUUAAAGAUAAUGCAUGAUGGAUGGGCUGUAUAUUGAUUUGUGCCUUUGACACAGUGAUUUGACGCUAUCCCGAUUUACAAGGGAGAUGCAACUAAAUUUUCUGUAAAAUGUAUAAUAAUGAAUUAAAAUAAUUAUAUCAUUAAGAGAAAUAACUAAUAAAAUUACCGGUACUCGUAUUACUAAUAUAAUAAUAAUAAUAAAUAAAGUUAUUAUUUAUUAUUAUUAUUAUUACUACUACUUACCAAAGGACUGCAAAAUUUAUUAAAGUUUAUAUAUUAGAGUAAAUAAGUAAAUAAAGUAAUCAUAGAUAUACGAUUUGAUAAGUUAAGACGAACUACUAUAUUAACCAAAAUUGAUAAAUAAAUAAGAAUUAAAUUUCUAAAAUUAAAAUUCUUACUAGAAUUUUCUUUCUAGAUGCUUAUAAGGUCUAAAAUGACGAGACAAAAGUUGCAAGGGAGCUGUAACAAAGAUAGUCCUAUAGUCUUAUUAAGGACGAUAAAGAACUGUGAGCAGAGUUAGAUAACCUGCAUCACUUAUGCAUUAUACAAUCAUGCAUAUAUGUAUAAUAUAAUAUCUACGUGAAACAUGCAUACAUGUAGAAGUGCCAUAUAAGCGUGUAUGCCAUAAGCCACAUCAAACACAUAUAGUUUUAUAUUGGAAUAUAUAGAGAUGUUGGAUAUCAUACACUGUGUGAGUGAUAUGAAAUUUUGUCAUUGAAUAUGAGUUAUCUGUGAUGUGCCCUGGAAUUAGAAUAAUGUGGGUCACCCUGGGGUGAGAGCAUGGGCAUGGUGAGAGUGCCGACAAUGGGUUGUAAGCGAGUGGAGUGGCGCCCCCCUUGUGUACUCUAUAAUUUGAUGUGCAUCAAUGAUAAAAGAAAAAGAAAGAAAAGUAUCAAAAAGGAAAAUAACAGGAAAGAAAAGAGAAAUAGAUGGAUGAGGUCCCUCCAGCCCGAAUGGUGAUGGGCUCCUUCAGUGCACUUGUCACAAGGAUGGUGAAUUAUUUUUUUGAAAAUUAUUUUAAAGCAUGCUUUGGGGGUGAGCAUGAUCCUUGUUUAUAAUGGGUGAUUCCACGGACUAAUGUCCACUGUUUGAUUACCUGAAUUAUUGUGACUUGUUUGAUAAGUAUGCAUUCAUACUUGCUUAUUCAUCCAUAGUUAGCUAGAGGGCUACUGAUUAUAUAACAUGAUUAUCAUAUGUAUGAUUGUGUGGGGUGAGAGAGUUAUCUAACCCUAUUCAUUGAGUUUGGCGCUCACCCUUGACUACUUAUUUUUCUAGGUAAUAGAAGGAAAGAAGAACCCUAUGAAUCAUAUUGAGUUAAGAUGCAAAUAAAGAAAAAUAAUAAUAGUUGUAUUAUGUAUAUGCAAAAAAAAAAUAUAUAUAUAAUUUAUAGAGUUCCACAAUUGUAUCCGAAAUGGGCUGUAAUUAAAUAAUAUGGAUUUAUGUAUUAAUUACAUAAAUUGUAUUUUCGAUAUGUCUAUGGAGUAUCGAAUUAGGCUUUGAUUAUGAAAUUAUGAUUAUUGGGAAUGAGGCCACGAUUGUGAAGAGAAUAAGCUUAAUUGAUUCAGGCUUACUACGGACCUAGGAAGCCUUAAACUCACCCAGACCCUAGUGCCGGUCCACCGUUGAAAACGGGUCGUGACAUGAAAUGUGUAAAAUAUUUUUCAAACCUAAGUUUAAGUAUACAAUAAGUCGUUUAUAAAAUUUAGAAUGCCUGGAAAGUUGAAAGGUUGAAAAAGUAAAUUCAUGCAUUCAGAAAAAAAAGAAAUUAAUAUUAAAAUAUUAAUUAUAAAUGGGUGAUCGGAUAGAAGUUGUUUCCAAUUUCUUUUGGACCAGUUCAACAUAACAAAAGCAUUUGGCUUCUAUAUUCCGAAGUCAAAUCAUCUAAAUAAUUUUCUAUAUAUAAGCUAUGAAAGUUCAAUAAAGAUUCUUAGUUUCAAAUUUUAUAUAUAAAUCAAUUUUUUAAUAUAAUUUCUUUUGAAUUUCAUUAAAAACUUCAAAUCAAUACAAAUAAUAUAGGGAGGACGUUACCCCUCGCCUGAGGACCAGACAUAGAACAAAUUAAUUAUAAUUAAAAUAGUUAUUGUUUGCUGAUCUAAUAAAAAAUUUAAAUGAAAAUUGAAAGGUGAAUUUAAAAAAAUUGAUAGAUCUUCAGAGUUGUUGGCUAGACAAACUCCCUCAACCUUAUAUACAUAGCCUAAUUAUCCAUGAACUGGUUGCUUUCUGAUGAACAUAUAGGAUUUGAACCACUGAAUCCGAUGGAUAAAUAUGCAGCACUACUAGGUUCCAAAAGACAAAGAUCAUCAUAUAUUUAAAAUUUUCUCCACAAAUUUCACAUUUGUUCAAAUAAACAAAACAAAUGUAAAUACUUCACAUAAAAUGGCAUACUAGAUGGAGAUUAUUUAACUAAAACAUAAAAAAAUUGCAAUAAAACCAAAAAUAAUAGGGAGGGGUUGUCACAAGAGAUAAAAAUCAGCCUCUCCUCAUAUCUACAUGCUUGGUUUCUGUGUUAGAAUGGAGAAAAUGAAAGAAAAUUUGAAUGGAGAAAUAGAGAGCGUGCGGCUAAACCUAUACACGUUCCUUGUAACCUCUAGGUUCUCAUAUAUACAUCAAUUAGGUUUAUGUCUUGUUAGUGAUAAUUUAAGUUUAAAAUUUUCAUCAAAAGACAUAAUAGGAAUUUAGUCAAGUCGUCUGAAUAAUAUAAAUUCUUAAUUUCAGAUGACGCAUAUAUAUGUAGCUUUCAUCUUUAUAAUAAUUUCAUCUAUAUAUAUGUAUAUAAUUAAGUGGUGCUAAAUUAAACUUGACACAACUUUAGCAGAUUAAAAUAUCUAAAAUGCCCUUAUAUGUAUAUUGCAAGCAAAAUCUGUUGCAUGAACUUAGUGAAAGGAGUACCUAACCUGCUUGGGCCAAAUUUAUUUUUCGUGUGCAUAUAUAUAAUUGUACAUCUGAAAGUGAACUUUUUUUCAAUUUCAGUUACUAUUUUAGAAGGAAAACAUUACAUUAAUUCUAGCUACACUUUUUGUUACUCAUUAGAUUAUUUAUAAGAAUAUAACAUCAACAAUAAAUUAAAGUAUUAAUAAUA